CUUUUCUCCAAAUAUGUAUGUAGGCUAUACAGUACACAGAGAAUUUGAUAUUAGUUGAGUUCGUCCUCUUGACUUAAUGGUUUUGUACAGUAAUUUAUACACAAAGACAUAAAGAAAAUUAGCCUAAGGGUUUCAAAAAGUUGUUAUAGUUCUCCUCUGAUUUAUUGUAAAUAUGUUUUUGAUUCUGUAGCACAUCCUUAAAACCUCUUAAUUACUUUCUGUUUGGUUAAUAUUGGUGCAGUAUGGCACCAAUAAAGUCCAUUAAAGUUUGAAAGUGAUUGCUUGGAGACAGACCUGUGCAAUCUUGUAAUCAAAAGAGUUACAGUGACCACCCAGAAGUUGAGGGUUUUGCAAGUUCAACCUAUACGCAGCCACUUGGUCACUGCAACUACUUGCAAUCAGUUGCUGAAAGUAAAAAUUCAAUGCAGUCACCGGGCAUCAAGCAACCAAGGGGGUGGUAUCCUAGUUUUAAUUUACUGCGACUGAUCAGUUACAACUUAACAUGCCCAGAGCCAGCACAUAAUGAAGACCACUCAUGUAAUUCGGUUUAUUUUCCCUGAGGAAAACCAUAAUAGGAAAUUCUUGCUGAGGACUGCAUGCUGCACAGCCAGUGAUUCUUGCUGACGACACUCCUCUCUGUGUGUAAGAGCAACAAUACAUUGUAGCCAGUCUGAGGUUAAGCCUAAACUUCAAUAGCUGCAUUUUCUCCAUGAUAACUUUUUCAUUUAUCUUUGAUUUAGUUAAUGGUAGUUUUCACUGUGUGAUGCUUUUUGGCUCAACGAAAAGUUAGAAGUGAACAGGAUCCAGACAGUCCCCCCUUUUAUCAGCCUUAAAGAUGAAAAUCAGUUUGUGAUUUGAUUGUUGUCUGUUUAUUAUUGUUGUUGACUGUGUCAAGAUGCAGUGCUAAAAAUCUAAGGGUGUAUAUUUCUAUUCCCACCAGGGAUAAAAUUGCACUCUGUUCCUGCUGACUAAGACUGAACAUUAGAUAUUUUGGAGUAAAUAUCUAACUCUCCAAAUUUCAAGGGAUGAUUAAUGCUUAACUUUCCUGACACCUAUAAUGUUUAACUCCCUAAAUAUCUAAGCAUUUAAUAAUUACAUUUCUGGGAAUCUUUGAAACUUAACUUGAUUCUCUUUGUCCUCUCUCUGUGCAAAAGCAGCAGCAUAUUCAUUGAAGAUAUUUUGAGGUGAAACUUAAACUUGAUUAGUUUCUCUCCAUUAUAUGGUGGCUGUGUGCAUCCUAGUCUAGUGUACACAUGAUUUUUUUAAAAAUAAAAAGGUUUCAGGUCCAAAGGCUCUGUAGUACAGCCCUGAAUGUUUCCAAAACUGAAAAGCGUGAGUGCACAACUAUAUAAUAACUAGCAAAAACAACAAAAAACUGAAGUUAUUUUUUGAGGCAUAUUAUGGUUGCAGGACAUUGUGGGUGACUAUAGUAUGCAGAAAUUUAGAGUUAGACUUUUAGAAGUUUCAUAGACAGAGAGAGUGUGUAGCUGUGUGUGUAUUUGACACCUGUGUUUGUGUGUAGAGCAUGUUGAAGUGUGAGACAGCGACAUGACGGGACAUUUGUAAUACACGUCUGUGAUUUUAGUUGUAGGGAUAACAACUGUCAUGUGUCUCAGUACAGGUUUUAUAGAUUUAUAGGUUUAAGGCACUUCGUUUUAUCUACCAUAUGCUCAAUCAUGUCAUGGUUUAAAGAAAACAUUUUGUAUGUAAAAACAAAAUCAAAUGUUGGCACAAG
Long non-coding RNA from Oreochromis aureus, 1735 nucleotides. The record is from Ensembl. NCBI's taxonomy places the organism in Eukaryota, Metazoa, Chordata, Actinopteri, Cichliformes, Cichlidae.